Long non-coding RNA from Cygnus olor (mute swan), 3757 nucleotides. RefSeq lists it as uncharacterized. The record is from RefSeq and is a predicted model, not a curated record. The transcript has 4 exons. NCBI's taxonomy places the organism in Eukaryota, Metazoa, Chordata, Aves, Anseriformes, Anatidae.
GCAUGGUAAUGUGGUUUGCAGGUCUGACUGACCUAGUGCACCUUUCAUUUAUUAGGCUGGCCUUUUGCAAAGUUGGUGAAACCUCCUGUGUUUUCAAGAUACUAUUAUUAAUUUGAACUCUAUCAGACAAGACUAGAUCUGAAACUUUAGCAGACUUUAGGGAAUUGUAAGUGAGAAUAAGGUUGGGGAAUCUUAUCUAGACUUAAGAAAGUGUGUCCAAUUAACUAGGUAAAUCUUAGGGUUUGGAGCUUAUCCCCCUCCCCAGCAUCUGGGCAAACUUUUUCUGAAUUCUUUAUUUUAAUUGGUUCUGUGGAAGUCAAAAAAGAGAUCUUCCUGCUUUGUUAUUCCUGUUAUGGCAAUGGUCUAUGCCUUUGGGGAAACCAAGUUGCAUCAAGUUCAAGGAACAGGUCUCCAUUUGCACGGUGUCUGUAGCAGAACCAGGACCAGAAUUUUUGAUCUUUGACUGUUGCUCCAGAUGCUCAACUACUUUGUACUCUGUGCUUUGUUUGGGUGGAAAGAGACUUGCCUGAAACCUGGCACGGGUCUCUUGUGACUGGAAGCUGCCACUCUGACAGUUAUUUAAUGGUUCAGAAACAAGGAGCUGGUGGAAAAACUCUGCCAUUUGGUACAGAAGAAGGUUUGUUCCUCCAGUAGUUAAGGCUUUUGUGGCACCUGGCUUGGAUUCAGCCAACUGGACAAUGAAAGAGGAAACAGACCUCACAUCUUGACCUUCCUCCUGCACCCAGCUACUGAUCAACAGUCUCCAACUGUAAUGUUGUUGACAUUUUUGAUGCAAAUGCUUGUAUGUUUGUCUCGGGAAUUAAGAGAUCAGAAUUAUGUUCCUUCACAGAAACCUUGUGGAAAAGCAGCCUGGUGCUUUGUUGGAUAGCUCUAGGAUAUGUGGAAAUAUUGCGGCCCCAUCACUGCAGUCCAAAGACUGACAUCAGUGGAGCCAACAGAAGGGAUCACAUUCCCUUAGGUACUGGUAUGCUUCAGCCACAAUAUUUAUUUGUGGCUGGAGCAAGAGGAUUCACUGUUGUUGGACUGGAGUCUUUGUUGUGGUGAGCACUGCCAGAUACACUAAGCACUUUAAAUAUCUGAGCAGAUGCAUCCUGGAAGCUCUGCCACUGGUGUCAAUUGGGAAUCCUAUUCCUUACCUUACAAAAUCCAGACCUAAUUUAUUUACUGUCUCCGAGACUCAGCUGCCAGCUUACUGCAUUUCUAAAGAUUUGGUCUUUUCCCUUCAUCAGUUUAACUUCAUGAUAAUGCCAUUUCACAAAAUACUGAUACAGUUCUGCCUUCGCUUUCCUCCUGCUUGUCUCUCUGUCAAACACCCUCACUCUCUCAUUUUGAGUCUCUCUUCUGUCUCAGCUUUUUCCUCAUUCUUGCUUUGUCCUGUCUCAUUAGGUAUCCCUCAACCUUUGCACUUUUCAGACCAUCAUUACUCACUUCAAAGACAUUACGGAGUCCUGAGAAAUGGGUAGCAGAGGGAAUUUUAUAAAGAAGGGGGAAAUAGGACCUUCGGCUGGUUGUCUGCUUUUUUUAUUAACAAAUACCCUUUGGUAAUGAAGACUUCAAGGGGGCUUCAUUAGGGUUUAAGAAGAGAACAGCAUGAAAGUUAAUUACCUGGAGUCAAGAAUCUGUAUUUUCCCUUCAGCAGUCCAGUGCUAUGCUUUAAAGGCAAUCAAUGGAGAGUUGUCUGGCAAACAUUCAAUCUUUCCUUGAAAUGUUCAGUGUAAUUAGAGCCUCUCCUGUCUGUCAUGAAGACAAAUUGUUUGUGGACCACUAGCAGUUGAGUACUGUACUAUGCCUUCAACUUUUAUCAUAAUUAUAAUACCAAUAUUCAAGGAAAUAUCCCAAACUGAGAAAUGGAAACUUAUUGCUAAGCUAAUUGCUUUGUAAUGAAUUGCUGCUGCUCAUGGAGAAACAUUCUAUUUUUUCCCCCUUCAUUUUCUUUAGGGCCAUCAGUAUUUGCAAUGCAAAUAUAAACCAACUUAGAAGCUUUCUGUAAAAAGAAUCAUCUAUUCCAUGGUUGUGGCUAAUUUUUGUUUUUAACUGGGGCAUGUAUUGCUGUGGAGGAGAAAGAGGGGGAAAAACAAAACAAAACAAAAAAAUCCUACAAUGACAACAUUGAAAAAGGAAAUCUAACCCUGUCCAAAAUUUAGUGAUUAGAGAGAAACAAAGAUUUCAUUAGUCUCACAGAAGUUACGGUCAGCUGCUUGUUGGAAAAUGAUAUUUUUUUCUCUGAUAUUUUGUUGAUACUUUGAAAUCAUAAUGACUUUGUGUGCUGCUCUUGUCAAUUAACUGUAAGUAAUAAUGUGAUCAUUAUGACAUGAGGACAUACCAAAGCCUCUGUCCAGCAAGAAUGCUAGCAAAUGUGCGUAUGUGUGUGGAAUGAAGAUGUGGUGGAAGAGUUGAUUUGGGUUUAGGGAGCAGUAAUAAAUGCUUAAUCAUUUCUGGAGAGUCUCAGUGGUGAUAAUCCUUGUCACUGCAAGCCUUUGAAAAAAGAUGAAGAAGUUUAACUCAAACAGCCAGUUAAUCAUAUUGAAUAGAAAAAUAAGUGGAUGAAUGAGUCAGUUCUGUUUGCUUUGUCACCUUCAAAGCAGCCACUAUUUUAUAACAUUGUCAUUACUUUUUGUGUGUGUGUGGAGUUACAAGAACGGUUUUAAUAUAUGAGGCUGACCAGGCUUGGAGUCAGCUGUAGAUGAAGUUCUUAAUUGUCUGUAAAGCAUUUGGCACAGUAAGAGAAAAAGAAAGCAUAUCAGUAGGCCCAGUUGACCAGGAAGUUUUGGGUGAGUUGUCAAAUGUGCAAAAUGCAAUUCAGCUGCCUUCUUCCAAGGGCAGGGGAAAAAAAUCAUAUUAAAAAAUUGUAGGUUUCAGUGAGGCUGCAGUUAUUUAUCCCAUGUGAGGGUCUAACCUAGAACAUCCAGCUGCAUUGUGAUAUAUCAUUGUAGAAAGCAUUUAAAAGGGAAUAAGAAGUAGGGAUGUCUUCCUGUUUAGUACAUCAGAUCAAGCAGACUGGGACAUAGGACUUUUUGAAAUGCACACCUUAGCUUGUGUUUUACCUUCUGUAGUGCUGUCUUGUGUGCUAAAUCUCUUACUGAUGGUGUGCAAUACCUACUGGAACGGAACAGCGUGUACUGGUUGCCUACCCUAAAGAAAAAAAGGUGUGUGAUUGUGUUUCUGCUGAUCAGCAUCACGUUUCUUAUCAUAAUACGCACACUUAUAAUUCGACUUGUAUUUUGUUUUGGAGAAGAAAAAAAAACAAAACAAACAAAACACUGUUACAUCUCUGUAACAGUGGCUCUUUUAAGUUCAGAAUAAGCGUGUGACCCACUUCACUGUUCCCUUAACUGGACUGAUUUAUAUCCUGUACAUUGUAUCUUCUGUGCCAGGUAGUGUUCUGAGCAAGCAUGUUGAAGCUUUGUUGUAUUGACAUGUGGCCUUUCAAUUCAUUCCCUAGUGACAGCAACUUCUUUUUUUUUAUGCAGCUUUCUACCUAAAUCUGCUUUGCUCCUUUUCUUACCCUGCUGUGUGUCCUGUUGCAGUACGCUGUUCCUGGCUUCUCUCUGGUUGUUUCCCUUCAUGUGCAGUGUUCUUUGGUGAAAACAUCUUUUUUCUUCCAUGCUGUAUUUUUUUCCCCCAAUUCUUUUCUAUUAUACUCUCCAGGGUUUUGCUUGCUUGUGUUCUUUUCUGUCUGGCCAGCCUAUAUUGACUUUCUUGGACAUUAAAGAUGCUUAAAAUCAGUUUGAAAAAU